Long non-coding RNA from Acanthopagrus latus (yellowfin seabream), 415 nucleotides. RefSeq lists it as uncharacterized. NCBI's taxonomy places the organism in Eukaryota, Metazoa, Chordata, Actinopteri, Spariformes, Sparidae. The record is from RefSeq and is a predicted model, not a curated record. The transcript is spliced from 4 exons.
CAACUAUUAGGCACUGAACUAAGUGCUUACAACACAGCUUCCUGGUACAGUGUAGACCUCAAUUCACCUGUGAAGACAACACUUCUCUAAAGUGCCAGAUGUGAAGAUAUCCACAUCAAGUCUGCUCUGAAGUGACAGGAUGGCCGGGAACACAGCUUCUGAUGUUGUCCGGAUCCACCAGGACCGAGGCCCUCACGCCACGUUUUCCUCGUGACACAGCAGCAAGGAAAGAAAUCCAAUCACGAUAGCCAGCGUUGCUCCGAAAAUUCCCACCAGCAGUCUUUAGGUUGAAGGCCCAGGCUGGUACGGUAUCAGCGGCCCUGAGGCGUGUGUUGUGUCCCAGGGGCAGGCUGAUCUGAAUGGGCCCUCGAACCUGGAGCUCCUCCCAGCCAGAAUACAGCAGGACGUUGACGGC